ACUUCCUGGGCAGCUGUGGCUCCCCAGGGCAGACAGUGGCCCAGGGGAGCAGCAGCCAAGUGCUCUGAGGGCGCGUGAGCCCAUCCGUCUUUGCCUCUUGCCACACAGAUGUUGCAGGCAAGUGUGAAACCCUCUGCUCUUUGCUUCUGUGCAGGUGCUGCAGGAAGAGCAGAAUGAGAAGAGGGCUUUAACAGAGACACUGCUCCAAACUCGGGGACAGCUCAGCCAAGCGUGCCAGCAGGUCCAGCAGCUCAGGCAGGAGGUGAAAGAGCAGCAAGAGAAGGGACAGACCAUCAAGGCAAAGCUGCAAGCUGAGCUGCAGGAAGCUCACAAUGAAAUGCUGGCAGUGCAUAGAAGGCACAAGGAAGAACUCCAAGGCAUCAGAGAGGAGAUGAAUGUCCUCCU
Cyanistes caeruleus (blue tit) is the source of this 405-nucleotide non-coding RNA. The record is from RefSeq and is a predicted model, not a curated record. NCBI's taxonomy places the organism in Eukaryota, Metazoa, Chordata, Aves, Passeriformes, Paridae.